Molecule: ribosomal RNA, 253 nt
Filed under: uncultured bacterium
Lineage: Bacteria
Description: partial 16S ribosomal RNA
Rfam family: Bacterial small subunit ribosomal RNA
Source: RNAcentral
UACGUAGGGGGCAAGCGUUGUCCGGAUUUAUUGGGCGUAAAGAGCGUGUAGGCGGCUAUACAGGUCCGUUGUGAAAACUCGAGGCUCAACCUCGAGACGCCGAUGGAAACCGUAUGGCUAGAGUCCGGAAGAGGAGAGCGGAAUUCCUGGUGUAGCGGUGAAAUGCGCAGAUAUCAGGAAGAACACCCGUGGCGAAGGCGGCUCUCUGGGACGGUACUGACGCUGAGGAGCGAAAGCGUGGGGAGCGAACAGG